GGGCCGUUGGAGCAGCGGGUAGCUCACCUCGUUCUCAGCGAGGAGGUGGCCGGUUCGAGACCGGCACGGCCCA
Molecule: transfer RNA, 73 nt
Filed under: Phytohabitans maris
Lineage: Bacteria; Bacillati; Actinomycetota; Actinomycetes; Micromonosporales; Micromonosporaceae
Description: tRNA-Glu
Source: RNAcentral